ACAACUUUCAGCAACGGAUCUCUUGGCUCUCGCAUCGAUGAAGAACGCAGCGAAUUGCGAUAAGUAAUGUGAAUUGCAGAUUUUCAGUGAAUCAUCGAAUCUUUGAACGCACCUUGCGCUCCUUGGUAUUCCGAGGAGCAUGCCUGUUU
This 149-nucleotide ribosomal RNA is filed under the name Paxillus sp. DI-2003b. RNAcentral's name for it is "partial 5.8S ribosomal RNA". It matches the Rfam family "5.8S ribosomal RNA". Rfam says of the family: 5.8S ribosomal RNA (5.8S rRNA) is a component of the large subunit of the eukaryotic ribosome. It is transcribed by RNA polymerase I as part of the 45S precursor that also contains 18S and 28S rRNA. Functionally, it is thought that 5.8S rRNA may be involved in ribosome translocation. Lineage: Eukaryota; Fungi; Basidiomycota; Agaricomycetes; Boletales; Paxillaceae. RNAcentral also lists the same sequence under 1 other name. The record is from RNAcentral.